This 1108-nucleotide long non-coding RNA is filed under the name Callithrix jacchus (white-tufted-ear marmoset). RNAcentral's name for it is "lncRNA (ENSCJAG00000077853.1)". The record is from RNAcentral. Lineage: Eukaryota; Metazoa; Chordata; Mammalia; Primates; Cebidae.
AAAAUACCAAGAAAGUACCUAACAGCCCAAUGGCCAGAAAAUUUCCACUGGUAUGAUGAGCAUGGUUGCUUAACCCUGUGUUGGUGCUGGCCCAUUUUAUAAGACCAUGAAGAAGCUACACCUCCACACAAGUAUUUAUGCUUCCAUGUAAAGGUGCAAGCAACUGUUUCAUGAUGAUUACAAGUGGUACAAAUACUAUGGAGGUUACCAAAGAGUACAUCAGCAUCAGUGUGUAGAUUCCACAAAUAGGAGAAAAUACUUUAUAGGCAGAACACAGGAUCAAUGCAAUAAGCCAGGACAGCUCAAGAGCAACGUGGAGGGUAAGAGCUUGGGGUGGUGGUAAGGGUAAGCUUGCAUAGCAAGAGUCAAGUAUAGGUUACAAUGAGUAUUAUAGACAAGCUUAAGUAGGCAAAAUUCAGAAGCAAAGCAGAACUCAUAGAAAACAUUAAGAUAACAGAGACUAUAUUGAGACAGUGAAAGAGCAGACAGUGGGGAAGACAAAGUUUCUCUAGAAAGUAGAGACAAAGGGAUCCCAGUUUGUGGUGAGCUGUUGGCUAUAGAGUGAGGGCACUUCCACUGUUGUGUCAGGAGGCACUGACAAGCUUCUUAUUCUCCAGAUGCCAGGAACAAGGCUGGCCCUCUAGUGGACAAUGCAGUGGCCUGAGCCUAAAGUCUAUACCCAAAAUAGCAAGAAUGUGCCCAUAUGAUGGUGUCUCCAGGACUAGGAGGCCAAUAAAACAGAAAGGACCUCAAGAUUUGCUAUUUAAGACAAACAACUCCUGGAAGGCAAGGCCUGGAUCCUAUUUAAAUUGAUGUCUCCAUGGACAGCAUCAAGAAGAUAUUCAGUAAAAUCUGUUGAGUUGAAUUGUCUACAGUAAAGAACAGAAAUUAACAAGGAAUUGCUCCAUUUAGGUUUUCAUCCUUUCCUUUCAAGGCAAGUAUUUUGCUUAAGUAAGAUUUUUGCCCUCAUUAAAGCUUUCAUGCACAAAAUACAUGUGAUCUGAACACUUAGCAUGGUGAAUUCUAUUUUGUUUAAAAUUUUCUUCUAUCCUUAGGCUUCCUUCUCUUCCUUUGUCUUUGUGGUACAUAUCAACUUCCCACUCUGCUG